This 207-nucleotide long non-coding RNA is filed under the name Elaeis guineensis (African oil palm). RNAcentral describes it as "long non-coding RNA (EGUI_LNC022522)". Lineage: Eukaryota; Viridiplantae; Streptophyta; Magnoliopsida; Arecales; Arecaceae. The record is from RNAcentral.
CAGGGUCACUUAUUUAGUUUAAGUUGUUUGUGCAUUUUAUAAUGCAAUCAACUUUUACCAAGGUACCAAUCUAAUAAACAUCACCUUGCAUUGGUACCCAUGUUUCACAUAUAUAAAGGAAUGUAAUAAGACAUGCUUUACAAAUAUUUUUGGGUGCUCUAUGACAGCCAGCCACCUAGUAAUUCUGUGCUAUCUGCGCAUUGCCUA